This 497-nucleotide ribosomal RNA is filed under the name uncultured bacterium. RNAcentral describes it as "partial 16S ribosomal RNA". It matches the Rfam family "Bacterial small subunit ribosomal RNA", at positions 28 to 507 of the family's 1533-position model. The record is from RNAcentral.
GAUGAACGCUGGCGGCGUGCCUAAUACAUGCAAGUCGAGCGAACCGAUAAGGAGCUUGCUCCUUUGACGUUAGCGGCGGACGGGUGAGUAACACGUGGGUAACCUACCUAUAAGACUGGAAUAACUCCGGGAAACCGGGGCUAAUGCCGGAUAACAUGUUGAACCGCAUGGUUCUACAGUGAAAGGCGGCUUUGCUGUCACUUAUAGAUGGACCCGCGCCGUAUUAGCUAGUUGGUGAGGUAACGGCUCACCAAGGCAACGAUACGUAGCCGACCUGAGAGGGUGAUCGGCCACACUGGAACUGAGACACGGUCCAGACUCCUACGGGAGGCAGCAGUAGGGAAUCUUCCGCAAUGGGCGAAAGCCUGACGGAGCAACGCCGCGUGAGUGAUGAAGGUCUUCGGAUCGUAAAACUCUGUUAUUAGGGAAGAACAAAUGCGUAAGUAACUGUGCGCGUCUUGACGGUACCUAAUCAGAAAGCCACGGCUAACUACGUG